UGUCGAACUGUCAAAUCCGCAUGUUUUCGGCUGACCGUCCGUGAUCAUCGCCGAGAGAGUUUCGCGUAAUUUCUUUUGACCGUCGUAACAAAUCCUCCGAUGGUUCUGGACUCCGUUGUCCAGUAAGUGCGUGGUCCGGUGUUGAAAACCGUAGGAAUCAAGUGUCGCGUAUCUUCUUUUUGCUUAAAUUAAAAUGAACACCCGAGGCUUGCUGCAGCGAAGUCUAAAAUUCCUCACCGGCAAGCAGAUUCUCGCAAGGCCAGCUAGCAGUUUGGCCGGGUCCGGUGGCCAGGGCCGAUGUUCACACUGUCGCGGGCUUAGUGGGACGGACGGGAUCUUUAGCCAGAGCCGAACAGCGGGACUGUUGGCCGCCGACAAGAGCCAGGAUGUGAUCCAGGUGCGGCAAAUCAGCACCGGCCGGGUGUUGCAGAAGAAGGACUACUACAGCAUUCUGGGGGUGGCGAAGAAUUCUUCGCCGAAGGAAAUCAAAAAGUCGUACUAUCAGCUGGCGAAAAAGUACCACCCGGACACCAACAAGGACGAUCCGGACGCGAGCCGGAAGUUCCAGGAGGUGUCGGAGGCGUACGAGGUCCUGAGCGAUGACACCAAACGGCGCGAGUACGACACGUUCGGCCAAACGUCGGAACAGAUGGGCCGCGCCGGCGGCGGUGGCCAUCCGGGCGCUGGUCGCGGUCCACAGGGCUUCUCCCAGAACUGGCAGUUCCGCAGCACCAUCGAUCCGGAGGAGCUAUUCCGGAAGAUUUUCGGCGACGGUGGCUUCAAGGCCGGUGGCUUCGACGACUUUAGCGAUUCGCGGUUCGGUUUUGGCGGCGCCCAGGAGGUGAUGAUGAACCUGACCUUUGCGCAGGCGGCGCGCGGCGUGAACAAAGACAUCGACGUGAACGUGGUGGACACGUGCCCGAAGUGCACCGGGUCGAGGUGCGAGCCGGGCACGAAGCCGGGCAAGUGUCAGUACUGCAACGGGACGGGCAUGGAGACGAUUUCGACGGGGCCGUUUGUGAUGCGUUCGACGUGUCGGUACUGCCAGGGCACGCGGAUGUACAUCAAGUAUCCGUGCUUGGAGUGUGGCGGCAAGGGGCAGACGGUGCAGCGGAAGCGGGUCACGGUGCCGGUGCCGGCGGGGGUCGAGGACGGACAGACGGUGCGGAUGGCCGUGGGUAACAAGGAGCUGUUUAUCACGUUCAACGUUGAGAAGAGUCGCUACUUCCGGCGGGACGGCUCGGACGUGCACACCGAGGCCAACAUCAGCCUGUCGCAGGCGCUGCUCGGGGGAACGAUCCGCGUGCAGGGCGUGUACGAAGACCAGACGAUCCAGGUCGUGCCGGGAACGUCGUCACAUACGCGCAUCACCCUCAAGGGCAAGGGACUGAAGCGGGUCAACAGUUACGGGUCGGGCGAUCAUUACGUGCACCUCAAGAUACAGAUUCCGACCAAGCUGAGCAGUCAGCAGAAGGCGCUGGUGCAGGCUUACGCUGAACUCGAGGAGGACACUCCGGGCCAGAUCAUGGGCGUGACCCACAAAACGGACGGAACGAAAAUGUGCUACGCCGAACCGCAGGACCUAACCGACAUUGUCCGGGAGGCCAUCAAGGAGCGCCAGCAAAUCAAGGAGCCCGGCAGUAAAGCGACGGAAGAGGAGACAGGCAGCGCAGAUGAUGGGGGAAAUAGUGGUGCAGGAGUAGAAGGUGGAUCGGAUCCAGCGGAGAAGAAGGAACGAAGCAGUAAUUGAGCGCAGUGAGGGCGGCAAAAUGUUCGUGGUAGUCGUUGUGUACAACAAACAAACAAACCAAUUCGUAGCUGAAUAUGAAAAGGAUGGAAAAAAUAACCAAAAUUUGUGUUGCAUCGUUAUUAAGUGGAAGGAAUGCAUGAUGACGAGUGGUUGGAGAAAAGAAGGAAAGGAUUUUUUGGCGCAGUCAAACAACGGUAAUUUGGAAAUUGAUUAUUAAGCUAAGAACAAGAUAGUCCGUUCGACGCAGUGGUGAACGCAGAACGCUGUGCCAGUUCGAUUUUUCCAUCAACUGUCAGUCGAACAAUCUGCAGGGGUUGCUUUGUUCAAUGGUCGAUGACUGGCAGGCUAUGAUGACAGGCGCAAAAUUUUGCGUUUGCGUUCAGGCCUGACGGACAAUCUUGUUCUUACCUUUACUACAUACUAGAGGGGAGAAACUUCGGAUAGAAUCAAACAUCGUGCUUCAACUAGUUGUUACAUUUAGGAAAGAAAACUUAUAUUGAAUAAACAGUUUUAAUGCUAAAC
RNA transcript from Culex quinquefasciatus (southern house mosquito), 2272 nucleotides. It is a transcript of the gene named protein tumorous imaginal discs, mitochondrial, with no coding region annotated. The record is from RefSeq and is a predicted model, not a curated record. NCBI's taxonomy places the organism in Eukaryota, Metazoa, Arthropoda, Insecta, Diptera, Culicidae. The transcript has 7 exons.